UACAACACAAAGAACCGAAAAGCGUCUUUCAAGCAUAUGUCCAUGGGAAGACUUGCACAAGUGCCUAUCACCCUUAUUAUCGUCCUUCUUUACACCGGCCUCCUAGCCGAAGGGGCAAUAGGAACCAACAAUACCGAGCAAGUCCGUCUAUAAUCCUUGAAGCUGAUGGGCUUAAUGCAGGAAAGCGACCUCAAGUUAUGCAGGCCAUGCCAUUGUUCCUGCAAGGACGAUAAAUGUGAUGCAACGAAAUGCUGCUAUCUGGCAAAGUGUACCACGCAACGACCUCUCACUUGUGUGCUAGACUUGAUUCAGUGCGGCAGUUGUGAUAAUUGCAAGUGA
This 339-nucleotide ribosomal RNA is filed under the name Triticum aestivum (bread wheat). RNAcentral describes it as "partial small subunit ribosomal RNA". The record is from RNAcentral. Lineage: Eukaryota; Viridiplantae; Streptophyta; Magnoliopsida; Poales; Poaceae.